CCUACGGGAGGCAGCAGUGAGGGAUAUUGCGCAAUGGGCGAAAGCCUGACGGAGCAACGCCGCGUGGGCGAUGAAGGCCUUCGGGUCGUAAAGCCCUUUUCUGUGGGACGAUAAUGACGGUACCACAGGAAUAAGCCACGGCUAACUACGUGCCAGCAGCCGCGGUAAUACGUAGGUGGCUAGCGUUAUCCGGAUUCACUGGGCGUAAAGAGCGCGUAGGCGGUGUGCUAAGUUGGACGUGAAAGCCCCCGGCUUAACCGGGGGAGGUCGUCCAAUACUGGUGCACUUGAGGGUGGACGGGGAAAGCGGAAUUCCCGGUGUAGGGGUGAAAUGCGUAGAUAUCAGGAGGAACACCCGUGGCGAAGGCGGCUUCCUGGCCAUGGCCUGACGCUGAGGUGCGAAAGCCAGGGGAGCGAACGGGAUUAGAUACCCCGGUAGU
RNAcentral lists this ribosomal RNA (439 nucleotides) under uncultured bacterium. RNAcentral describes it as "partial 16S ribosomal RNA". It matches the Rfam family "Bacterial small subunit ribosomal RNA", at positions 338 to 794 of the family's 1533-position model. The record is from RNAcentral.